CGGGAGGGAGGCUGCGGACGAGUGCGGGGAGGAGUCUGCGCUGGGAGGCGCUUGCAGGGGCUCCCCCAGUUCUGCGCCGAGAGCCGCGGCACAAAGAGCUCUCUGCGCCCACCAGAGGUAAGCGGCCGCCCGCGU
Non-coding RNA from Oryctolagus cuniculus (rabbit), 135 nucleotides. NCBI's taxonomy places the organism in Eukaryota, Metazoa, Chordata, Mammalia, Lagomorpha, Leporidae. The record is from Rfam.